Meleagris gallopavo (turkey) is the source of this 1254-nucleotide non-coding RNA. The record is from RefSeq and is a predicted model, not a curated record. NCBI's taxonomy places the organism in Eukaryota, Metazoa, Chordata, Aves, Galliformes, Phasianidae.
CCUCAGUAAGAAAGAAAGCGAGUGUUCCACGUACCCUCUAGUUCAGCCUCUUUGAACCAGAUCUAUUCAGUGAACCCGUUUAAUAAGUGGUUGUAGUGCUAUCACUGCUAAGGUUGUGGCCUGGAACUAAGGGUAAGGGAAGAGGGCUCUAGUGGUUUGUUUUGUUGUUGUCAGCUCUCAACUGAAUGUGAUACAGAAUUAUCUUAGUGCCACAUAGUGGAAUUGUGUUUAGUGAUCUCCCUAUAAGUGUAUUUUAGGGCCAGACUAGCUCCAGAUGCUUUUGUUAACGAGAAUAGUGCUUAGAAGCAGGAAGCUUGAUUUCUCUGUGCCUUGCUCAGAUGUUUUCACAUGUGCCACAAAGUGGUUGCACAGCAGUGCCAUUCUUAUCUGAGCUAAAAAAAGAACAGACUUCCCAGUAAGUGCCACAGAACAUCAUGUCCCUAAAACCUUCAUGAGAUUAAAAAGACAGCAACAAUUCUGGUUUUAAAAGAGGAAAAUAUUUAUGAGAAUCUAGCUUCUUGACCGUACAUUGCUCAGUUUAUUUACCCUACAGUACACUGCAUGUGAAUCAGAAGUAUGAUAUGACUGAUCAAUGCAGUCCAACUAGUAAUCUAUCUGAAGUCACGUAGCUGUAAUUUUCUUAACAUUCAAGCACAGUGCUCAAGAAACAUCACAUGAAGUGGAAACCUUUGGUUGCUACCUGUGGAAAGAAUAACUGUACAGAAGAGGGAGCACACUUCUGGAUCCCCUUCUUUUUGCUUUUGCUUUCAAACAAGUGCUUUCAUGAGCAAGUAUAGGGACCUAGCCGACACUAUUUUUAAUAUAGGCAAACACAAUGCUUUUGUUGUUAUUUAGAAGAGAGCUGGAGAUACACAAUGACUGGGUAAGAAUGGAAUAACUCCUGGGAAACAAAAUGCAUAGCUAAAAAUAAAUAAAUUGUGAAAAGUUCUGCAAAAUAUUCUUUUAAGUUUAUGGCAGAGAAUGAAUCUGUAUCCUAAAAAAGAAUAAAGUCAGCAAUUGUAUGCACUUUUCAUGACUGUCAUCUAAAACCUGGCAAACAGAUUAUUUGUUGGCUUAGUAGAUUAGACAUGAGAGCUUCUGUAAAUUAAAAACAAAAGCAGCUUUGGAAUGUAUUUCACUGUCUCAGUUGGAAAACAAAGAUCUCUUUUCCCUCCACCCCUUCUUUUCCUUAGGAUAAUUAAAAAUAAAAAAGUGUUCAGAGCCAUAUAAAUAAAACAAGGGCUGGGACAAAAA